AAUUCAGCUCCCAGCCUUCCAGGAGCUGCAAUUUUACAACCUCACUACAAGCGUCCCCCAGCAAAGCUGCACCGCCAUUUCCUGUGCUUGGGAACUGGAGGCAAGGGGAGUUCAGCCUACACCCAGGAACGAACAAGGACAGCGUGGAGUUUAGAAGCAAGUGGACUUGGUUCAUCUGUUUCACUGGCUCAUAAUUUUGCAAGGGCGGUUUCAUCUGUACCCUGACAAUACCUUCUAGUUUUUUUACCCACUGGUGUUGAGACUUAAUUGAAGACCUCAGACGGACAGAAUACCAUGGAACCUGAGACCUUGAUUUGCGGGGACAGGUUUAAAGUAUAUUCUGGGGUUGGUGCCCCCACCCCAGGGGCCGGCUCAGAGGGCUCACUUUCCAGCCUAAUUUCAGGGGAACCAGAGGCUGCCGACCUGGAUCUCACCUUGACGGAGGUCUUGUCACCUUCCUCCUCGGCUGGAGAGGCAGACUGUGGAUGCUCUCCUGCUGGCUACCCAAAAACAAACAAAUAGACAAACAAAUAUGAAUGAGGAAAACCUGAAGAGGCCCCAUGUGCCGGAGGUGGGACAGCUUGAGAUUUGGUGAGGAUAAUUGCAGUGGCUCAAAACCCAUAAAGAAGUUUCAGUCCAUGAGU
Molecule: non-coding RNA, 644 nt
Filed under: Pongo abelii (Sumatran orangutan)
Lineage: Eukaryota; Metazoa; Chordata; Mammalia; Primates; Hominidae
Source: RNAcentral